Molecule: ribosomal RNA, 301 nt
Filed under: uncultured bacterium
Lineage: Bacteria
Description: partial 16S ribosomal RNA
Rfam family: Bacterial small subunit ribosomal RNA
Source: RNAcentral
CAGUAGCCACGGUAAUACGGAGGGUGCAAGCGUUAAUCGGAAUUACUGGGCGUAAAGCGCACGCAGGCGGUCUGACAAGUCAGAUGUGAAAUCCCCGGGCUUAACCUGGGAACUGCAUCCAAAACUGGUGAGCUAGAGUACGGUAGAGGGUAGUGGAAUUUCCUGUGUAGCGGUGAAAUGCGUAGAUAUAGGAAGGAACACCAGUGGCGAAGGCGACUACCUGGACUGAUACUGACACUGAGGUGCGAAAGCGUGGGGAGCAAACAGGAUUAGAUACCCCCGUAGUCCCUGUCUCUUAUAC